GGGGGGGGGGCAAGCGUUGUUCGGAAUUACUGGGCGUAAAGGGCGCGCAGGCGGCCUGGCCAGUCCUACGUGAAAUCCCACAGCUCAACUGUGGAACUGCGUGGGAUACUGCCCAGGCUUGAGUCCGGGAGAGGAGAGUGGAAUUCCCAGUGUAGCGGUGAAAUGCGUAGAUAUUGGGAGGAACACCGGUGGCGAAGGCGGCUCUCUGGACCGGUACUGACGCUGAGGCGCGAAAGCUAGGGGAGCAAACGGGAUUAGAUACCCCGGUAGUCCUAGCCGUAAACUUUGAGCACUUGGUGUGGCGGGUAUCGACCCCUGCCGUGCCGAAGCUAACGCAUUAAGUGCUCCGCCUGGGGAGUACGGUCGCAAAGGCUG
Molecule: ribosomal RNA, 375 nt
Filed under: uncultured organism
Description: partial 16S ribosomal RNA
Rfam family: Bacterial small subunit ribosomal RNA
Source: RNAcentral